AGAGUUUGAUCCUGGCUCAGGAUGAACGCUGGCGGCGUGCUUAACACAUGUAAGUCGAACGGACGCUUUGGGUAACUGGAGCGUUAGUGGCAGACGGGUGCGUAACACGUGGGCGACCUACCCCAGAGUGGGGAACAACAGACCGAAAGGUUUGCUAAUACCGCAUACGCUCGGCGAUUCAAUUUGUCGAGUAAAGCCGAAAGGCGCUUUGGGAGGGGCCCGCGGCCCAUCAGGUAGUUGGUGAGGUAACGGCCCACCAAGCCGAUGACGGGUAGCUGGUCUGAGAGGACGAUCAGCCACACUGGCACUGAGAUACGGGCCAGACUCCUACGGGAGGCAGCAGUGAGGAAUAUUGCGCAAUGGAGGAAACUCUGACACAGCGACGCCGCGUGGGCGACGAAGGCCUUCGGGUCGUAAAGCCCUUUUGGCAGGGACGAGUGAGGACGGUACCUGUCGAAUAAGUCUCGGCUAACUACGUGCCAGCAGCCGCGGUAAAACGUAGGAGGCGUGCGUUAUCCGGAUUCACUGGGCGUAAAGCGCGCGUAGGCUGUCGAGUAAGUCGGACGUGAAAGCCCCUGGCUCAACUGGGGGAGGUCGUUCGAUACUGCUCGGCUUGAGGGUAAGAGGGGGAAGUGGAAUUCCCGGUGUAGCGGUGGAAUGCGUAGAGAUCGGGAGGAACACCAGUGGCGAAGGCGGCUUCCUGGCUUACCCCUGACGCUGAUAGCGCGAAAGCGAGGGGAGCAAACGGGAUUAGAUACCCCGGUAGUCCACGCUAUAAACGAUGAGGGCUGGGUGUUGGUGGGAUUUCCCAUCAGUGCCGAAGCUAACGCGUUAAGCCCUCCGCCUGGGGACUACGAACGCAAGUUUAAAACUCAAAGGAAUUGACGGGGGCCCGCACAAGCAGCGGAGCGUGUGGUUCAAUUCGAUUCAACACGAAGAACCUUACCAGGGUUUGACAUGCAAGUGGUAGGGAGGGGAAACCGGACCGACCCGCAAGGGAGCUUGCACAGGUGCUGCAUGGCUGUCGUCAGCUCGUGCCGUGAGGUGUUGGGUUAAGUCCCGCAACGAGCGCAACACCUUUCGUUAGUUACAUGUGUCUAGCGAGACUGCCGGAUUAACUCCGGAGGAAGGCGGGGAUGACGUCAAGUCAGCAUGGCCUUUAUAUCCUGGGCUACACACACGCUACAAUGGGUGUUACAAUGCGUUGCCAAGCCGCGAGGCGGAGCUAAUCGCACAAAAGCAUCCUCAGUUCAGAUCGCAGGCUGCAACUCGCCUGCGUGAAGUCGGAGUUGCUAGUAAACGCGCGUCAGCUAUAGUGCGUUGAAUCGUUCCCGGGCCUUGUACACACCGCCCGUCACGUCAUGGGAGCUGGUAACACCUGAAGUCGGUGACCUAACCGCAAGGAAGGAGCCGCCGAGGGUGGGACUGGUAACUGGGACGAAGUCGUAACAAGGUA
RNAcentral lists this ribosomal RNA (1456 nucleotides) under metagenome. RNAcentral describes it as "bacterial SSU rRNA". It matches the Rfam family "Bacterial small subunit ribosomal RNA". The record is from RNAcentral.